RNAcentral lists this ribosomal RNA (279 nucleotides) under Bacillus subtilis. RNAcentral's name for it is "partial 16S ribosomal RNA". It matches the Rfam family "Bacterial small subunit ribosomal RNA", at positions 1 to 269 of the family's 1533-position model. Lineage: Bacteria; Bacillati; Bacillota; Bacilli; Caryophanales; Bacillaceae. The record is from RNAcentral.
UUUAUCGGAGAGUUUGAUCCUGGCUCAGGACGAACGCUGGCGGCGUGCCUAAUACAUGCAAGUCGAGCGGACAGAUGGGAGCUUGCUCCCGGAUGUUAGCGGCGGACGGGUGAGUAACACGUGGGUAACCUGCCUGUAAGACUGGGAUAACUCCGGGAAACCGGGGCUAAUACCGGAUGCUUGUUUGAACCGCAUGGUUCAAACAUAAAAGGUGGCUUCGGCUACCACUUACAGAUGGACCCGCGGCGCAUUAGCUAGUUGGUGAGGUAACGGCUCACC